CGGGAUAUAGCCCCGCAAUCUGCGGGGCACACGUCUGGGGGGCGUGGGGUCGUGUGUUCGAAUCACAUCAUCCCGA
Molecule: transfer RNA, 76 nt
Filed under: Ferruginibacter sp.
Lineage: Bacteria; Pseudomonadati; Bacteroidota; Chitinophagia; Chitinophagales; Chitinophagaceae
Description: tRNA-Pro
Source: RNAcentral